Molecule: transfer RNA, 79 nt
Filed under: Pyrobaculum ferrireducens
Lineage: Archaea; Thermoproteati; Thermoproteota; Thermoprotei; Thermoproteales; Thermoproteaceae
Description: tRNA-Gly
Rfam family: tRNA
About the family: Transfer RNA (tRNA) molecules are approximately 80 nucleotides in length. Their secondary structure includes four short double-helical elements and three loops (D, anti-codon, and T loops). Further hydrogen bonds mediate the characteristic L-shaped molecular structure. tRNAs have two regions of fundamental functional importance: the anti-codon, which is responsible for specific mRNA codon recognition, and the 3' end, to which the tRNAs corresponding amino acid is attached (by aminoacyl-tRNA synthetases). tRNAs cope with the degeneracy of the genetic code in two manners: having more than one tRNA (with a specific anti-codon) for a particular amino acid; and 'wobble' base-pairing, i.e. permitting non-standard base-pairing at the 3rd anti-codon position.
Source: RNAcentral
GGCCCGUAGCUCAGCCUGGUAGAGCGGCGGUGGGCCGGCACCCGUAGGUCGUGGGUUCGAAUCCCACCGGGCCCGCCAG